Molecule: small RNA, 748 nt
Filed under: Pan troglodytes (chimpanzee)
Lineage: Eukaryota; Metazoa; Chordata; Mammalia; Primates; Hominidae
Description: retained intron
Source: RNAcentral
CGGCCGCGGAAGCCUGGAGUGGGCGGUACGCAGACGCGCGCGGUGAGACCCGCUGUCUGCUCAGCGGACUCUGCCCGCCCCCACCUCCCCCUGCGUCGGGCCGACAUGAAGGACUCGCUGGUGCUGCUGGGCCGUGUCCCGGCGCACCCGGACUCCCGCUGCUGGUUCCUGGCCUGGAACCCCGCGGGGACCCUGCUGGCCUCGUGCGGCGGCGACCGGAGAAUCCGCAUCUGGGGCACGGAGGGUGACAGCUGGAUCUGCAAGUCUGUCCUUUCUGAAGGCCACCAGCGCACCGUGCGGAAGGUAGCCUGGUCCCCCUGCGGUAAUUACCUGGCCUCUGCCAGCUUUGAUGCUACCACUUGCAUUUGGAAGAAGAACCAGGAUGACUUUGAGUGUGUAACCACUCUCGAGGGCCAUGAAAAUGAGGUCAAGUCAGUGGCUUGGGCCCCAUCUGGCAACCUCCUGGCCACUUGCAGCCGAGAUAAGAGCGUUUGGGUCUGGGAAGGUGAGGCCAGGUCCCUCCAGGUGGAUUGGGAACCACCUGACAGCCCCCUCUGUGUCCCUGACAGGGUCGGCUCUUGGGUCCCCUUUUUCUCUCCCACAGUUGAUGAAGAGGAUGAGUAUGAAUGUGUCAGUGUUCUCAACUCCCACACACAGGAUGUCAAGCAUGUGGUUUGGCACCCAAGUCAGGAGGUAAGAGUCAAGCAGGGACUCUUGUGGGAAGGGCUCUGGUGUGCAGGCUUGUGCC